AAAAAGAUAAGCUAAUCCAAGCUAAUAGGUUCAUACCCUUUUUAUGAAAGUAUCCACUCUUUCUCUUUUUA
Molecule: transfer RNA, 71 nt
Filed under: Davidius lunatus
Lineage: Eukaryota; Metazoa; Arthropoda; Insecta; Odonata; Gomphidae
Description: tRNA-Met
Source: RNAcentral